GUUGCCAGCGGUCAUGGCCGGGGACUCAUGGGAGACUGCCGGGGUCAACUCGGAGGAAGUGGGAUGACGUCAAAUCAUCAUCGCCCUUAUGUCUUGGGCUUCACGCAUGCUACAAUGGCCGGUACAAAGGGCUGCGAUACCGCGAGGUGGAGCGAAUCCCAGAAAGCCGGUCUCAGUUCGGAUUGGGGUCUGCAACUCGACCCCAUGAAGUCGGAGUCGCUAGUAAUCGCAGAUCAGCAACGCUGCGGUGAAUACGUUCCCGGGCCUU
Molecule: ribosomal RNA, 268 nt
Filed under: uncultured Cellulomonas sp.
Lineage: Bacteria; Bacillati; Actinomycetota; Actinomycetes; Micrococcales; Cellulomonadaceae
Description: partial 16S ribosomal RNA
Rfam family: Bacterial small subunit ribosomal RNA
Source: RNAcentral